Patella vulgata (common limpet) is the source of this 742-nucleotide long non-coding RNA. RefSeq lists it as uncharacterized. The transcript has 4 exons. The record is from RefSeq and is a predicted model, not a curated record. Lineage: Eukaryota; Metazoa; Mollusca; Gastropoda; Patellidae.
GCAGUCAGUUUAUCGAGAAAUGAAAAAUAAAUCAAUUCAUGUCCGGGAACACUACUCCGUUUGUUUCUGUAAACAACAACUGGCAAUGAUUCAACCCAAACCACCUAAAGUUAAAGACUUGAUUCGUUUGCUUAAAUACUGGUAUAAGACGAAUGGGCUAGAUAUGACAUCGUAUUGUUGUGAGGUAAUGGGGCUAUAUAUUUUCCACAAAUAUCUGAACAGUAAAACUAACUUCGAUAUGAAAACUGGUUUUUAUAAAGCUAUGGAGUUGUUUAGUUCCUAUAGACAACUACAGAUCACAAUACCUGGGAUCUAUAACACGGAUAAUUGGUCAAGUUUCUUCCCUAAAACAACGUAUGUACUUGAUCCCGUUAAUCCCUUUUCCGACACAUCUUCACCUAAAGUUCGCAGUAUAGAAAGAUGUGCUGAAUCCACAUUGAAUUGGUUAGAAGAUGUACCAUCCGAGGAUUAUGGUUUUUUAUCUAAAAUAGGAGCUGUAGUUGCUGCCACUGCUUUUACUUUACUACUUGGAUCCAGUGCAGCUAACCAAAACUGAUUUUUUAAAAAAUGUUGUUUAAUUCUAUAAUUGUUUUAUACCUGUUAUCAGUUGGUGUAUUCGAUUCUGAUAUUCUGUAUGACAAUACGAAUACUGAUUACGAACACCGAUAUCUAGUCGUGCACUAUUGUUAUUAUUAUUAUGUUCUAUACAGUCAGUUGUCCUAAAUACAGAAUUCUGACGUAA